This 365-nucleotide unclassified non-coding RNA is filed under the name uncultured bacterium. Its description in RNAcentral is "contains 16S-23S intergenic spacer region". The record is from RNAcentral.
UCCGACUUGAAGUCGGCAGUCUCCUGUGAAAAUGCAACACAGAAUAUGGGUUGCGCUCGUUUACGGACUUAACCGAACACCUCAAGGCACGAGCUGACGACGACCAUGCAGCACCUGUCAUCCGGUUCCUUGCGGCACUCCCGCAUUUCUGCGGGAUUCCGGAGAUGUCAAGCCUUGGUAAGGUUCCCCGUUUACCGUCGAAUUAAACCACAUGUUCCACCGCUUGUGUGGGUCCCCGUCUAUUCCUUUGAGUUUUAAUCUUGCGACCGUACUCCCCAGGCGGGAUACUUAACGCGUUUGCUAAGGCACAAGGGGGGGUCGAUUCCCCCUCACACCGAGUAUCCAUCGUUUACGGCGUGGACUAC